Molecule: transfer RNA, 73 nt
Filed under: Caudoviricetes sp.
Lineage: Duplodnaviria; Heunggongvirae; Uroviricota; Caudoviricetes
Description: tRNA-Ile
Rfam family: tRNA
About the family: Transfer RNA (tRNA) molecules are approximately 80 nucleotides in length. Their secondary structure includes four short double-helical elements and three loops (D, anti-codon, and T loops). Further hydrogen bonds mediate the characteristic L-shaped molecular structure. tRNAs have two regions of fundamental functional importance: the anti-codon, which is responsible for specific mRNA codon recognition, and the 3' end, to which the tRNAs corresponding amino acid is attached (by aminoacyl-tRNA synthetases). tRNAs cope with the degeneracy of the genetic code in two manners: having more than one tRNA (with a specific anti-codon) for a particular amino acid; and 'wobble' base-pairing, i.e. permitting non-standard base-pairing at the 3rd anti-codon position.
Source: RNAcentral
GCGAAAUUAACUCAACGGUCAGAGUGGUGAUCUUAUAAAUCACUGGUAGCUGGUUCGACUCCAGCAUUUCGCA